This 721-nucleotide long non-coding RNA is filed under the name Mytilus galloprovincialis (Mediterranean mussel). The record is from RNAcentral. Lineage: Eukaryota; Metazoa; Mollusca; Bivalvia; Mytilida; Mytilidae.
CUUUGAUAUAUUUUAUGUUACUUUUUAGAAAGGAAGAAAAAAACAAUGGUUUAUUUUGAAAUGAAAUUUUUGAAUUACCAAAUAGUCUCAUAUUAAGUACCUCGUUCUUAGUUUUUGGAUUAUCUCCCAUUUUUAGAAAAUUAGACCAUGUAUAAAUCAUUUUCUGAUAAAAUACAGGAAUAUUUUUAAGAUUUAGUCCUUUAAUAUUUGAACAUUUACAUAAAAAAUACUGAUCAUUAUACUUGUUGUCAAAUUGUCGAAGCCAAUACUUGCCAAUCGCAUUCCAGCUUUCUAAUGGUUCGUGAAGAAUACGAUAAAGAGACUUUAUUUGCUUACUUCUAAUGAAUAAGUCGAUACUAAUCAUGCCCAUUCCGCCCUUUGUUAUAUCAAGACAACAAACCUGUCUUUCUAUUUGGUUAACUUUCCCAUCCCAUAUAAAAUUCCAAAUGAUACUGUUUAUUUCUUUUGAAUAUUUUUCAAGAAUACCCCGCAUUUCAAUUUCAUAACUACACAUGGGCAAUAUGAAAUUUUUUACUAUUAAGGUUUUACCACUAAAUGAAAGUUUCCUGCUUUUCCAAACGUGGACACAGUUUUUAAUCUUUUCUAUUAUACUUUGCCAUAUAGCAUCAUUAUCAAUUUCAUAUCCGUGAUUUACUCCUAGGGUUUUUACAUUACCUGUAAUCCAUUUAAUUUUAUUAAAUUUUAGUUUUUUCCUUUUAAG